Molecule: ribosomal RNA, 519 nt
Filed under: uncultured eukaryote
Lineage: Eukaryota
Description: SSU rRNA
Rfam family: Eukaryotic small subunit ribosomal RNA
Source: RNAcentral
AGGGCACCACCAGGAGUGGAGCCUGCGGCUUAAUUUGACUCAACACGGGAAAACUCACCCGGCCCGGACACCGCGAGGAUUGACAGAUUGAUAGCUCUUUCAUGAUUCGGUGGAUAGUGGUGCAUGGCCGUUCUUAGUUCGUGGAGCGAUUUGUCUGGUUUAUUCCGAUAACGAGCGAGACUCUAGCCUACUAACUAGUCCGCGUGUUCGCUUGCUGCAUGCUUGGGACUUCUUAGAGGGAUUUUCGGCGUUUCAGCCGCACGAAACUGAGCAAUAACAGGUCUGUGAUGCCCUUAGAUGUCCGGGGCUGCACGCGCGCUACACUGGCGAAAUCAGCGUGCCUGUCCUCUCGCGAAAGCGACUGGUAAACCGGUGAAAAUUCGCCGUGAUUGGGAUCGGAAAUUGCAAUUAUUUUCCGUGAACGAGGAAUUCCAAGUAAGUGCGAGUCAUCAACUCGCGUUGAUUACGUCCCUGCCCUUUGUACACACCGCCCGUCGCUGCCCGAGACUGAGCCAUUUC